This 73-nucleotide transfer RNA is filed under the name Bacteroidales bacterium. Its description in RNAcentral is "tRNA-Lys". It matches the Rfam family "tRNA". From Rfam's summary of the family: Transfer RNA (tRNA) molecules are approximately 80 nucleotides in length. Their secondary structure includes four short double-helical elements and three loops (D, anti-codon, and T loops). The record is from RNAcentral. Lineage: Bacteria; Pseudomonadati; Bacteroidota; Bacteroidia; Bacteroidales. RNAcentral also lists the same sequence under 1 other name.
GAGCUAGUAGCUCAGCUGGUAGAGCACAUCCCUUUUAAGGAUGGGGUCUUGGGUUCGAGCCCCAACUGGCUCA